CACCCGUGAGAGGCGGCGGCUCAAGCGCAGAGUGCCAGUGUGAAACUGCUUGAGAUUGAAUAUAGGAGAGGAGGGUGGAACUCACAGAGUAGCGGUGGAAUGCGUAGAUACUGUGAGGUACCCCGAUGGCGAAGGCAACCCUCUGGCUGCUACUGACGCUGAAGCGCGAAAGCGUGGGGAGCAAAGGGGAUUAGAUACCCCCGUAGUCCACGCCGCAAACGAUGUUCACUUGGUGUCGGUCGCUGAUACAGAUCGGUGCCGGAGCUAACGUGUUAAGUGAACCGCCUGGGGAGUACGGCCGCAAGGCUAAAACUCAAGAGAAUUGACGGGGGCCCGCACAAGCGGUGGAGCACGUGGUUCAAUUCGAUGAUAAACGAAUAACCUCACCUGGGUUUGACAUGCUAGUAGUAGGAACCAGAAACGGGGACGACUUUCCCUUUCGAGGGAAGGAGCUAGCACAGGUGAUGCAUGGCUGUCGUCAGCUCGUGUCGUGGGACGUAGGGUUAAGUCCCGAAACGAGCGCAACCCCUGUCGUCAGUUGCCAGCGGGUAAUGCCGGGGACUCUGACGAGACUGCUGGUGAAUAGCCGGAGGAAGGAGGGGACGACGUCAAGUCAUCAUGUCCCUUAUGCCCAGGGCUACACACAUGCUACAAUGGGAGGUACAAUGGGUUGCGAAACCGUAAGGUGGAGCCAAUCUCAAAAAGCCUUCCUCAGUUCGGAUUGAGGUCUGUAACUCGACCUCAUGAAGUUGGAAUCGCUAGUAAUCGCAGGUCAGCUAUACUGCGGUGAAUAUGUACUCGGGCCUUGUACACACCGCCCGUCACACCAAUCGAGUGGGGGGUACCUGAAGUCGUUCUUCUGAGAGCGCCUAGGGUAACCUUCGUAAGAGGGGUG
This 895-nucleotide ribosomal RNA is filed under the name uncultured bacterium. RNAcentral describes it as "bacterial SSU rRNA". It matches the Rfam family "Bacterial small subunit ribosomal RNA", at positions 589 to 1482 of the family's 1533-position model. The record is from RNAcentral.